RNAcentral lists this non-coding RNA (167 nucleotides) under uncultured Acetatifactor sp. RNAcentral describes it as "FMN riboswitch (RFN element)". It matches the Rfam family "FMN riboswitch aptamer (RFN element)". Rfam says of the family: The RFN element is a highly conserved domain that is found frequently in the 5'-untranslated regions of prokaryotic mRNAs that encode for flavin mononucleotide (FMN) biosynthesis and transport proteins. This element is a metabolite-dependent riboswitch that directly binds FMN in the absence of proteins. In Bacillus subtilis, the riboswitch most likely controls gene expression by causing premature transcription termination within the 5' untranslated region of the ribDEAHT operon and precluding access to the ribosome-binding site of ypaA mRNA. The record is from RNAcentral. Lineage: Bacteria; Bacillati; Bacillota; Clostridia; Lachnospirales; Lachnospiraceae.
UUCUUCAGGGUUGGGUGAGAUUCCCUACUGGCGGUAAAGUCCGCGACCCGAAGAUGCGUAAGGCAGCCCGGCUUGAUGGUUAUUUUGAGACGGGUAAUGGUGUCUGAGCUCUUUGGCUGACCCGGUGUGACUCCGGGACCAACAGUAAAGUCUGGAUGAAAGAAGAA